Molecule: long non-coding RNA, 1372 nt
Filed under: Homo sapiens (human)
Lineage: Eukaryota; Metazoa; Chordata; Mammalia; Primates; Hominidae
Description: non-protein coding lnc-ARF6-5:5
Source: RNAcentral
AGCCGUUCUGCCUUACAGGGUUGGGACCCCGGAAGCUUAUCGGCGCGGUUGCGGCCGCGGCUCCCUGUGUUUUGAUCAGAACACCACGUUCCUGCUUAACAGAAAUUGCAUACUCUGUACUCUAACUAAUAGAGGGAGGUUCCCAGAAGAAAAUCCUGGAUAAGCAGAACUCAGAGCAGGAACCAAAAGAGCUCCAGGUAUCUACAGGGCACCCCAAUGGGAUGAACCAUCCUCAGUAUCCUCUAAGAAGAGUCUGAUUUUCUAGUUUGAGUUCUGUAUUCUUCUACAAUCUGUAUUUAUAUGCAUACCUAUUUUUAUUUUUGUUAUUUAUUUAUUUUUUGAGACGAAGUUUCGCUCCGCUUGCCCAAGCCAGAGUGCAAUGGUGUGAUCUCAGCUCAUUGCAACCUCCGCCUCCUGGGUUCAAGUGAUUCUCCUGCCUCAGCCUCCAGAGCAGCUGGGAUUACAGGCACGUGCCACCAUGCCCAGCUAAUUUUUUGUAUUUUUAGUAGAAACGGGGUUUCACCAUGUUAGCCAGGCUGGUCUCGAACUCCUGAUCUUAGGUGAUCCACCCGCCUCAGCCUCCCAAAGUGCUGGGCUUACAGGCAUGAGCCACCACGCCCGGCCAUGCAUACCUAUUUUUAUUAUAAUUAUGUUGUAAAUAAAACAUCUGUGUCUUGCUUUUCUUUCCCACAUGUUACUAUGUUUUUGGUGGCAGUAUAAUCUUUUAUUAUUAUUAUUAUUUGAGACAGAGUCUUGCUCUGUCUCCCAGGGUGGAGUGCAGUAGCGCGUCUCAGCUCACUGCAACCACCACCUUCCCAGUUCAAAUGAUUCUCCUGCUUUAGCCUCCUGAGUAGCUGGGACUACAGGCAGGCUUCACCACACCCAGCUAAUUUUUGUAUUUUUAGUAGAGAUGGGGGUUUCACCAUGUUGGCCAGGCUGGUCUCGAACUCCUGGCCUCAGGUGAUCUGCCCGCCUCCCAAAGUGCCGGGAUUACAGGUGUGAGCCACUGCUCCCGGCCAGGUGGCCCUAUAAUCUUUUGAUUUGGUGCAUCAUAAUUUAUGACUAUUUAAAUUGAACCACUAUCAGUCACACUAAUCACUUUACUAUUCUAUAUAUUUCACCUUUAUUGUUUUAUGAAUUAGUGAUCGGCAUAGUAUCCAGUGCUAAGUCAGUUAUGCACAACCUCGAAUCAGCCGUUUGCUUUUUUUUUUUUUUUUUUUUUUUUUGAGACGGAGUCUCGCUCUGUCGCCAAAGCUGUAGUGCAGUGACGCGAUCCCAGCUCACUGCAAGCUUCGGCUCCCGGGUUCACGCCAUUCUCCUGCCUCAGCCUCUCGAGUAGCUAGCUGGGACUACAGGAGCCCGCCACCACGCC